UACGUAGGGGGCUAGCGUUGUCCGGAUUUAUUGGGCGUAAAGAGCGUGUAGGCGGCCAGGUAGGUCUGCUGUGAAAACUCGAGGCUUAACCUCGAGAUGUCGGCGGAAACCAUCUGGCUAGAGUCCGGAAGAGGAGAGUGGAAUUCCUGGUGUAGCGGUGAAAUGCGUAGAUAUCGGAAGGAACACCAGUGGCGAAAGCGGCUUCCUGGUCCAGCACCGACGUUCAGGCACGAAAGCGUGGGGAGCAAACAGG
Molecule: ribosomal RNA, 253 nt
Filed under: uncultured bacterium
Lineage: Bacteria
Description: partial 16S ribosomal RNA
Rfam family: Bacterial small subunit ribosomal RNA
Source: RNAcentral